CGCGUAGGCGGUUCGUACAGUCAGACGUGAAAUUCCCGGGCUCAACCUGGGGGCUGCGUUUGAUACGUACGGGCUUGAGUUCGGAAGAGGGUCGUGGAAUUCCCAGUGUAGAGGUGAAAUUCGUAGAUAUUGGGAAGGACACCGGUGGCGAAGGCGGCGACCUGGUCCGAUACUGACGCUGAGGCGCGAAAGCGUGGGGAGCAAACA
Molecule: ribosomal RNA, 207 nt
Filed under: uncultured bacterium
Lineage: Bacteria
Description: partial 16S ribosomal RNA
Rfam family: Bacterial small subunit ribosomal RNA
Source: RNAcentral